Molecule: ribosomal RNA, 747 nt
Filed under: uncultured Lachnospiraceae bacterium
Lineage: Bacteria; Bacillati; Bacillota; Clostridia; Lachnospirales; Lachnospiraceae
Description: bacterial SSU rRNA
Rfam family: Bacterial small subunit ribosomal RNA
Source: RNAcentral
AUGAACGCUGGCGGCGUGCCUAACACAUGCAAGUCGAGCGAAGCGCUGUUUUCAGAAUCUUCGGAGGAAGAGGACAGCGACUGAGCGGCGGACGGGUGAGUAACGCGUGGGCAACCUGCCUCAUACAGGGGGAUAACAGUUAGAAAUGACUGCUAAUACCGCAUAAGCGCACAGGACCGCAUGGUGUAGUGUGAAAAACUCCGGUGGUAUGAGAUGGACCCGCGUCUGAUUAGGUAGUUGGUGGGGUAAAGGCCUACCAAGCCGACGAUCAGUAGCCGACCUGAGAGGGUGACCGGCCACAUUGGGACUGAGACACGGCCCAAACUCCUACGGGAGGCAGCAGUGGGGAAUAUUGCACAAUGGGGGAAACCCUGAUGCAGCGACGCCGCGUGAAGGAAGAAGUAUUUCGGUAUGUAAACUUCUAUCAGCAGGGAAGAAGAUGACGGUACCUGAGUAAGAAGCACCGGCUAAAUACGUGCCAGCAGCCGCGGUAAUACGUAUGGUGCAAGCGUUAUCCGGAUUUACUGGGUGUAAAGGGAGCGUAGACGGAUAGGCAAGUCUGGAGUGAAAACCCAGGGCUCAACCCUGGGACUGCUUUGGAAACUGCAGAUCUGGAGUGCCGGAGAGGUAAGCGGAAUUCCUAGUGUAGCGGUGAAAUGCGUAGAUAUUAGGAGGAACACCAGUGGCGAAGGCGGCUUACUGGACGGUGACUGACGUUGAGGCUCGAAAGCGUGGGGAGCAAACAGG